Molecule: non-coding RNA, 231 nt
Organism: Vicia faba (fava bean)
Lineage: Eukaryota; Viridiplantae; Streptophyta; Magnoliopsida; Fabales; Fabaceae
Source: the annotation of a GenBank genome assembly
AUGGUUCCGCCGGUAGACACCCUCACCGCGGUCAAACCCUCAAUCACGCUUGAGAGUCCGAUUUCACGUCCCAGAGUCCAGUUCUCUCGUCAUCAUCACGGAUUUUCAUCGCCUGAGCACCUAGGGCUUCUGAAACCCCCUUCAAGAUCUAGGCGAGAUCUUCCAUUUUCUACGAAAUCAAAGCGCGGAUUAGUAACCAGAAGAAGAAGAAGACGAUUCAGAAAAAUGUAA